AAGCAAACAAGCUAUCACCAAGGAAUGAGCUUUGGGUCGUAGAGUCUCCUAAUGAUUAGGGUUCUGAUGCUUUCAAUUCAAGAGGGGCUGGUAAGUGAGCAUUAUGUAAGCAAUUAUCAAAUGACUCAUCAAAUCAGUGACAUCCUCAAAUGCCUGCCAAUUCCUAUGUUGGCAGCUGCUUUCCACCCAGACCUCAGGGAAGGAAACAGCCUGGGCCCCAGGCAGUGGCAAAGGAGUUCUAGGAUUCUGGGCCACUCACUACUCAAUUCCUUUUCCCUGUUCCAUUUUGCAAAUUUAUUUUGAGACCAUCUAUUUCAACUUUGUCAUUUUUUAGAAGGCUGCUGGGACCUGGAGGUUUAAAGGGCUCAUUUAGCAGUUUAAACCAGAUCUUGGCCUGUGUUGGAAGUCUUCCUGACUUUUCCCAGAUGCUCUCAAGUUACUGACAUCUCAUUUAAGAAUAAGGAAUGGCAUCAGUGCUAAAUGCCACUUGCUUCUUGUCUUACCUCAUAAUAUUUUCUUUAUCUAAAGGUA
RNAcentral lists this long non-coding RNA (531 nucleotides) under Bos taurus (domestic cattle). Its description in RNAcentral is "long non-coding RNA NONBTAT024661". Lineage: Eukaryota; Metazoa; Chordata; Mammalia; Artiodactyla; Bovidae. The record is from RNAcentral.